RNAcentral lists this long non-coding RNA (2440 nucleotides) under Homo sapiens (human). RNAcentral describes it as "non-protein coding LINC02268:12". The record is from RNAcentral. Lineage: Eukaryota; Metazoa; Chordata; Mammalia; Primates; Hominidae.
ACACAGAGAUUGGAGAGAGACAGGAGAGAGACAUGUUUUCAUCUAUCCUUUGUGGACUUCUGUUGUUUUUACUGCUGUGAAAUUUGACUUGCGAUAUCUGCUUAAAGCAAUGAAGAGAAAAGCUGAAGUCAGUGAUUAGGAGUGUCUGUGUAAGUAAAAGCAACAGGCAAUUACUGAGUGUGGUGUGAGAGGCACGGAAAGAUUGGGAAUUCAGCAAGAAGAGGAAUUGAAGUCAAACCUCACCUACUUCCCAGAGUCUUCUGGAUUUUCUGUUAGAAGCUUCAGUAUCUGAGGAAAGGACUCAGGCAACAAAUAAACAGCUAAGAUUUUACUAGAGUAUGAAAGGGAGAGCACUGGAGUGCAGUGCGGGGAUGGAGAUGCAGCUGUGGUGGCUGGAAGUACAGGAGGGCAGCUGGAGGCACCUGGCCUCUGAAGCCUGUCUUCUUCAUCUGGGUGAGAUCUGCUGGAGUCAGGAAGGACUUCCUGCUGCAAGGAUAAAGGUGAAGUGUGGUGGCGUAAUCAUGACUCACUGCAGCCUCGAACUCCGGGACUCAAGCUAAUCUCUUUCCUCAGCCUUCCCAGCAGCUGGGACUACAGAAUCCCACCCAUCCUAAGGCAUUACAUUUAGUCAUCAUAGCUCUUUCUUCACAGAAUUAGAAAAAACUACUUUAAAUUUCAUAUGGAACCAAAAAAGAGCCCAUAUAGCCAAGAAAAUCUUAAGCAAAAAGAACAAAGAUGGAGGCAUCAUGCUAACUGACUUCAAACUAUACUACAAGGCUACAGUAACCAAAACAGCAUGGUACUGGUGCCAAAACAGAUAUAUAGACCAAUGGAAUAGAACAGAGGCCUCAGAAAAACGUCACCCAUCUACAACCAUCUGAUCUUCAACAAAUCUGACAAAAACAAAUAAUGGGGAAGAAAUUCUGUAUUUAAUAAAUGAUCUUGGGAAAACUGGCUAGCCACAUGCAGAAAACUGAAGCUGGGCUCCUUCCUUACACCUUAUACAAAAAUUAACUCAAGAUGGAUUAAAGACUUAAACGUAAGACCUAAAACCAUAGAAACCCUAGAAGAAUACCUAGGCAAUACCAUUGAGGACACAGACAUGGGCAAAUGACUAAAGCAACAAAAGCCAAAAUUGACAAAUGGGAGCUAAUUAAACUAAAGAGCUUCUGAACAGCAAAAGAAACUAUCAUCAGAGUGAACAGGCAACCUACAGAAUGGGAGAAAAUUUUUGCAAUCUAUCCACCUGACAAAGGGCUAAUAUCCAGAAUCUACAAAUAACUUAAACAAAUUUACAAGAAAAAAAACAAACAACCCCAUCAAGAAGUGGGUGAAGGAUAUGAAAAGACACUUCUCAAAAGAAGACAUUUAUGUGGCCAACAAACAUGAAAAAAAGCUCAUCAUCACUGGGCAUUAGAGAAAUGCAAAUCAAAACCACAAUGAGAUACCAUCUCACGCCAGUUAGAAUGGCGAUCUUUAAAAAGUCAGGAAACAACAGAUGCUGGAGAGGAUGUGGAGAGAUAGGAAUGCUUUUACACUGUUGGUAGGAGUGUAAAUUAGUUCAGCAAUUGUGGAAGACUGUGUGGAGAUUCCUCAAGGAUCUAGAACCAGAAAUGCCAUUUGACCGAGCAAUCCCAUUACUGGCUAUAUACCCAAAGGAUUAUAAAUCAUUCUACUAUAGAGACACAUCCACCUGUAUGUUGAUUGCAGCACUGUUCACAAUAGCAAAGACUUGGAACCAAUGCAAAUGCCCAUCAAUGAUCGGCUGGAUAAAGAAAAUGUGGCACAUAUACACCGUGAAAUACUAUGUAGCCAUAAAAAAGGAUGAGUUCAUGUCCUUUGCAGGGAUAUGGAUGAAGCUGGAAACCAUCAUUCUCUGCAAACUAAUACAGGAACAGAAUGCCAAACACCACAUGUUCUCACUCAUAAGUGGGAGUUGAACAAUGAGAACACAUGAAUACCGGGAGGGAACAUCACACACCAGGGCCUGUCAGAGGGUCGGGGGCUAGGGAAGGGAUAGCAUUAGGAGAAAUACCUAAUGUAGAUUAUGGGUUGAUGGGUGCAGCAAACCACCAUGGCACAUGUAUAGCUAUGUAACAAACCUGCACGUUCUACACAUGUAUCCCAGAACUUAAAGCAUAAGUAAAAUAAAAAAAUAAUUAAAUGAGGAAGAAGAGUCAAAUUUUUGUGCAGAAAAAUUUGAAAGAAUUUAUGUAGAUACUACUUCCUCAAUGAGGAAGAGCAUAACUCUAUGCUCUUUAAGUCGGACAUGAACAUACUCAUUUCUUUCAAAAGAGUACAAUAUGAAAAGAGGGAAAAAGAAUAACUGUACAGUAAAGAAACCUGACAAUUGCUACCUUGGCCAAGUGACCCAGGUCAACAUCAACAGUGAUAGUGACGUUUAUGUCAUGUCCACUUGAAAUGAUGUGAUUAAAAAAAG